AAUAGAUACCCCGGUAGUCCACGCCGUAAACGUUGGAUACUAGGUGUGGCGGUCUACCAACGACUGCCGUGCCGAAGCUAACGCAUUAAGUAUCCCGCCUGGGGAGUACGGCCGCAAGGCUAAAACUCAAAGGAAUUGACGGGUCCCCGCACAAGCGGCGGAGCAUGCGGCUUAAUUCGAUGCAACCCGAAGAACCUUACCUGGGUUUGACAUCAUGGGAAAAGCCGUAGAAAUACGGUGUCCGAAAGGGCCCAUGACAGGUGGUGCAUGGCUGUCGUCAGCUCGUGUCGUGAGAUGUUGGGUUAAGUCCCGCAACGAGCGCAACCCUUGUCCUAUGUUGCCAGCGGUUCGGCCGGGGACUCAUAGGAGACUGCCGGGGAUAACUCGGAGGAAGGUGAGGACGACGUCAAGUCAGUCAUGCCCCUUAUAUCCAGGGCUGCACGCAUGCUACAAUGGCCGGUACAACGGGAAGCGACCCCGCGAGGGUGAGCGAAUCCCUUAAAGCCGGUCCCAGUUCGGAUUGAAGUCUGCAACUCGACUUCA
RNAcentral lists this ribosomal RNA (543 nucleotides) under uncultured bacterium. RNAcentral describes it as "bacterial SSU rRNA". It matches the Rfam family "Bacterial small subunit ribosomal RNA", at positions 777 to 1320 of the family's 1533-position model. The record is from RNAcentral.